UACGAACUGUGCAAACGUUAUUCGGAUUCACUGGGCUUAAAGGGUGCGUAGGCGGCCAUGUAAGUAGGGUGUGAAAUCCCCCGGCUUAACCGGGGAACUGCGCCCUAAACUGACGAGCUGGAGUGGGACAGGGGUGUGUGGAACUUCCGGUGGAGCGGUGAAAUGUGUUGAUAUCGGAAGGAACGCCGGUGGCGAAAGCGACACACUGGGUCUCAACUGACGCUGAGGCACGAAAGCCAGGGGAGCGAACGGGG
This 254-nucleotide ribosomal RNA is filed under the name uncultured bacterium. RNAcentral's name for it is "partial 16S ribosomal RNA". It matches the Rfam family "Bacterial small subunit ribosomal RNA", at positions 524 to 777 of the family's 1533-position model. The record is from RNAcentral.